AAAAAGGGCUUCUGCCGUGACUGGCACACGCCGGGCAGCUCGUUUGUCCUGCUUGCGGAAUUGAAAUCAAGAGAUUCUGGAAGCAUAAGUUUUGGGCCCCUGGGCAGCUGGUGAUCAUUGGUCCCAGUGUCCUG
This is a small nuclear RNA of Suncus etruscus (white-toothed pygmy shrew), 134 nucleotides long. RefSeq annotates it as U11 spliceosomal RNA. The record is from RefSeq and is a predicted model, not a curated record. The transcript has a single exon. NCBI's taxonomy places the organism in Eukaryota, Metazoa, Chordata, Mammalia, Eulipotyphla, Soricidae.